GACGAACGCUGGCGGCGUGCCUAACACAUGCAAGUCGAACGGGGCUUGUUAUCCAGAAUUUUUCGGAAGGACGGAGAACAAGGCUAGUGGCGGACGGGUGAGUAACGCGUGAGUAACCUGCCUUUCAGAGGGGGAUAACGUUCUGAAAAGGACGCUAAUACCGCAUAACAUAUAGAGGUCGCAUGGCAGCUAUAUCAAAGGAGCAAUCCGCUGAGAGAUGGACUCGCGUCUGAUUAGAUAGUUGGUGGGGUAACGGCCUACCAAGUCGACGAUCAGUAGCCGGACUGAGAGGUUGAACGGCCACAUUGGGACUGAGACACGGCCCAGACUCCUACGGGAGGCAGCAGUGGGGGAUAUUGCGCAAUGGGGGAAACCCUGACGCAGCAACGCCGCGUGAAGGAAGAAGGUUUUCGGAUUGUAAACUUCUUUUGUCAGGGACGAAUAGAUGACGG
RNAcentral lists this ribosomal RNA (452 nucleotides) under uncultured bacterium. Its description in RNAcentral is "bacterial SSU rRNA". It matches the Rfam family "Bacterial small subunit ribosomal RNA", at positions 28 to 475 of the family's 1533-position model. The record is from RNAcentral.